Molecule: ribosomal RNA, 679 nt
Filed under: uncultured Nostoc sp.
Lineage: Bacteria; Bacillati; Cyanobacteriota; Cyanophyceae; Nostocales; Nostocaceae
Description: bacterial SSU rRNA
Rfam family: Bacterial small subunit ribosomal RNA
Source: RNAcentral
CCGUGGACUAUAUACCCGGGGACACAUGCGGGAAAGGGAGGCUAAUGCGGGAUGUGCCGAAAGGUGAAAGGUUUACUGCCUAAAGAUGAGCUCGCGUCUGAUUAGCUAGUAGGUGGGGUAAAAGCCUACCUAGGCGACGAUCAGUAGCUGGUCUGAGAGGAUGAUCAGCCACACUGGGACUGAGACACGGCCCAGACUCCUACGGGAGGCAGCAGUGGGGAAUUUUCCGCAAUGGGCGAAAGCCUGACGGAGCAAUACCGCGUGAGGGAGGAAGGCUCUUGGGUUGUAAACCUCUUUUCUCAGGGAAGAAAAAAAUGACGGUACCUGAGGAAUAAGCAUCGGCUAACUCCGUGCCAGCAGCCGCGGUAAUACGGAGGAUGCAAGCGUUAUCCGGAAUGAUUGGGCGUAAAGCGUCCGCAGGUGGCUGUGUAAGUCUGCUGUUAAAGAGCAAAGCUCAACUUUGUAAGAGCAGUGGAAACUACACGGCUAGAGUGCGUUCGGGGCAAAGGGAAUUCCUGGUGUAGCGGUGAAAUGCGUAAAGAUCACGAAGAACACCGGUGGCGAAGGCGCUCUGCUAGGCCCCCACUGACACUGAGGGACGAAAGCUAGGGGAACGAAUGGGGAUUAGAUCCCCCGGUUGUCCACAUCGNAAGGGGUAAUUACCGGGUGAAUAGGGGUU